This is a non-coding RNA of Prunus avium (sweet cherry), 290 nucleotides long. NCBI's taxonomy places the organism in Eukaryota, Viridiplantae, Streptophyta, Magnoliopsida, Rosales, Rosaceae. The record is from RefSeq and is a predicted model, not a curated record.
AUUUUUCAGCCUUAGGGAUAUGUCUGCUCAGAUGCACCAGAUCUAUAGAAAUUUGCUUCGAAUUUUCAUCUCGGUUGUGAACAACUUAUUUUGCAAGAGAUCAUGGCGAAAGUGAAAAAGGAGCAGCUGCAGGAGGAGGUUGUGGAUCCACACGAGAAAAUGGGUUUCCUUUUGCAAGCAUUAUAUGAAAUUGAAGGCUGUUUUGACUCCCCUACUUCCAAGCCAAGCUCUGCUACUCGGAGAGCCACUGGUCCGAUGAGACGGUCUGCGAAAUUCUGGACAGAGGAAGA